Perca fluviatilis (European perch) is the source of this 1161-nucleotide long non-coding RNA. RefSeq lists it as uncharacterized. The transcript has 4 exons. The record is from RefSeq and is a predicted model, not a curated record. Lineage: Eukaryota; Metazoa; Chordata; Actinopteri; Perciformes; Percidae.
AUCCGAAUAUCUGUCAAAUAUCCAACAUCAAACUAACUUCACCACGGUAAACGUUGGUACUAUUAACGUUACUAGCCAACGUUGGCUGGCGAAAAUAUGGCGGACUUUCCAGUAAUGUAAUGGACAAAAGUGAUUUGACACUAAAAACAGUAUUUAAGAUGAUUGUAAAAGAACAUGAUUUUUCUAUUAACUUAACCCAUGUAACUUGAAAACGAGUAAAGUUACACAUCUCCCACAUCUAGAAAGGAUUUAGUCUGUCUGUGUGGGUCUCGCUUAUUGACGUUCCCAUCAGUAUUUUUCUAUACGUUAUUCAUCUCCACUCCUUUCAUAUUAGAGAUCAGAUGAAGAUCAGAUGAAGUUCAGCUGGAAACUAACAGAGGGUGAUGCAGGGAGAGCCAGCACUGCAGAGUUUGCAGAUUAAGUUUUUCUAAUUGAAAUAUGUGGCUCCAGAUGACCUCUUCUGUCAUCAGUCUGCACCUGCUACAUAUUAUUGGAGUGCCAGCCAGGAGGGACUGAAGGAACAGAAGAGUGUCCCAGUCCUUACUUCGAACCCAGUCCAGAAAUUCCAGAUCAGCGUGAUUAAGUCCAAAGAGGAAAACAUGGAGCAGCUCCAGGAUGAAGUCAGCUCAGUGCUGUGGUCAAUGGGAAAGCCUGAACUCAUAAAGGGCGUCAUCAACUAAAGUGUAGUGAACCAUCAGGGGAAGGAUUCCAAGGCUUAUCCUGUUGUGCCCCGAGUCGUCUGGCAUCAGAUGGAGCUUUUCUAGUUGAAAUAUGUGGCACCAGAUGACCUCUUCUGUCACCAAUCUGCACCCUGCUACACCAGCAACUCGUACUGGAACAUUCAUUAGCAGAUAACGCAAACAAGGCAGAAUCGAUGCAACCCUCCUCCGCCCCAUUCAUCUCCCGUUGUCAUCAUUCCCGGCUCCCAGGGUUCCUCCUCCAUCAGAAGCCCAGCUUCACAUCCCAUCCAUCCAGAUCUUUGGGCUUCCUUUAUCCCCCUACCAGUGUCUAGACUCUAUCGAGGGGAUAUCAACGGCUUCUAUACCCCUUAUAAAUUAACAUUGCGAUGGAGUCUAAUCGCCAAAGACUAACAUUUCAAACUAUUAUGCACCAUGUUCAUUAAACUUAUUUCACUCUGAAAUAAAGUCUCUCCUGAUUGAA